GGAUGAACGCUGGCGGCGUGCCUAAUACAUGCAAGUCGAGCGAACGGACGAGAAGCUUGCUUCUCUGAUGUUAGCGGCGGACGGGUGAGUAACACGUGGAUAACCUACCUAUAAGACUGGGAUAACUUCGGGAAACCGGAGCUAAUACCGGAUAAUAUUUUGAACCGCAUGGUUCAAAAGUAAAAGACGGUCUUGCUGUCACUUAUAGAUGGAUCCGCGCUGCAUUAGCUAGUUGGUAAGGUAACGGCUUACCAAGGCAACGAUGCAUAGCCGACCUGAGAGGGUGAUCGGCCACACUGGAACUGAGACACGGUCCAGACUCCUACGGGAGGCAGCAGUAGGGAAUCUUCCGCAAUGGGCGAAAGCCUGACGGAGCAACGCCGCGUGAGUGAUGAAGGUCUUCGGAUCGUAAAACUCUGUUAUUAGGGAAGAACAUAUGUGUAAGUAACUGUGCACAUCUUGACGGUACCUAAUCAGAAAGCCACGGCUAACUACGUG
Molecule: ribosomal RNA, 498 nt
Filed under: uncultured bacterium
Lineage: Bacteria
Description: partial 16S ribosomal RNA
Rfam family: Bacterial small subunit ribosomal RNA
Source: RNAcentral